This 1097-nucleotide long non-coding RNA is filed under the name Capra hircus (goat). Its description in RNAcentral is "lncRNA (ENSCHIG00010025919.1)". Lineage: Eukaryota; Metazoa; Chordata; Mammalia; Artiodactyla; Bovidae. The record is from RNAcentral.
AAUACACCCACACGCCUGGGGGGCACUGCCAGGCUUUUCUGCCAGGAAGGCUGGCACUUUACCCUGGCUUCGUUCACAGCUGCAGGGAGGGACCAGAAGCCCUAGUCUGCGGGUAAGGAAAUGGCCUCAUGGAGAGGCAGCUGGUCCACUAACAUCUCACUUCUGAACUCCACACCCCACCAGGCUCUGAAUUAAGUGUCUUUCAGGCUCUCAGCCCUACCAGGUGGGACUUUAUUUUUAGCCCCAAUCUGCAGGUGGUGACAGAGACACCGAGAGGGCUCAGACACUUGCCCAAGUCAUCCAGCUGAGCAGCUCAGGGGAGGUCUGUACCCAGAGCCUUCGCCCCAACUUCUAGAAUAUACCAACCUGCUCAGUGGAGGGGACAGAGACAGGAUUCUAAUUCAGCUCACACUAAAUUCUAACCCACUAAAGCCCUGCUAGUUUUCCCUGGUAUACACGUCCAGCAAUGUUGCCUCAGGCCUGGACAGCCCCUGGGGCUCCAUACCUCAAGGGAAAGUCUGGUGGAGACCCUUGUCAGUCAGGCUUCCAGAAGGCCUAGCCCAGCACAACGUGGACCAGGUGACCGCCGGACUCCACAAAGGGCUCACUGUGGUGACUGGAGAAAGCCGAGGCCAGACCCGGCUGGGCCCUCUCUGCAAAGCCCUGCCCACAGAUCCCUGGUCUGGUCUCCCCCCCUCCCCCAAGGAGCCCCCAGACCCAGAGCACAGGAGUAGGACCAGCGGAGGCACGGGCCUCCAGCUGGAGCCAGUGGGGAGAGGCUGAGCCUACGGAAACCCGAAACCCUCCAGCAGCUGCGUGGUGGGAGGGGGCUGCAGACCCCUGUGGACCCCUGGGGGCUCAUCCAAGGUGCCCUGGACGCACCUGUCACUGGGGUGGGGUUCAGGAGGGGCUCUGAAGAGGGGAGGAAGGGGAUGGCUUCUCGUUCGCGCCCAUCUAGGGGAGGAAGGAAAUCUGUUUCCCAGUAUGGGGGGAAGGGGAUGCGACUUUGCGAGGUGUCAGGGCAGCCUGGGGAGGGGGACCCCGAGAGGGAAGGGACGGAUUGGCCUGAGAGGUGGGUGGCCUAGCUUCCCGCUGCA